Molecule: long non-coding RNA, 10273 nt
Organism: Corvus hawaiiensis (hawaiian crow)
Lineage: Eukaryota; Metazoa; Chordata; Aves; Passeriformes; Corvidae
Exons: 2
Source: RefSeq, a predicted model, not a curated record
AUGUGCUGUGAUAGGUUUAAGCCACUUAAGAGUUAACAAGCUGGUAUACUAUAUAAGUGCCUCUGGAUGGCUAAUAAACGGAGCUUGCUUUUAUCAACCAUAUUGGUUGUUCUGCAAUGUCUUCCCCUGCCGCAGUCAUCAGACAUUUCCAACAGGCAGGCACUCUUCCCACUCGUCUGCUGGAGUCAGAGAGAUUGCAUCACAGUGACUGUCCCAACUGUAAGUGGAAAUAUAGGAUAAGAAAGAAAUAUAUUAGAGAACAGUUACCAUUGAAAAAGGAGUUCUGAAAACUCGUAAAAUAAAUAGGUCUAUUUUAACCCAGUUGUGAUGGGGUUAAAAAAGCCAAAAAAACUUCCAAUUUGUGUUCUUCUGGUUAGUGAAAGGCAGAGCUAUUCAAUAGAGGUCAAAAGUAGAGUAAUGUGCUGUACCUGAAAAGGAAAGUAGUAAAAUGUCUGUAUGGUAUUUUUGAUUGCUAUUUAUAUAAAUAAAAUAAUCACAUCCAAACAACCCAAUUAAAUGAAAUCAGUAAAAAAUGCUAGUUAAUGUAGAUCAUACUGGACCACCCUUAAAAAGACAUUAAAAAGGCAACAAGUCAGUUCUUCAGCCCCCAUUGGAAGUUAGCUACUUCCCCAGUACUCCUAAAGAACAAAUCAUAAUCCUACUAUCCUAAUGGAGACUUCUUCAGUUAAUAAAAUAGGUUCUGAUGUCUGGAGCUGUGUGAGUGAAGUAAUUAUGCCUGUUUAUAAUGGCUGCCACAUUUAUUAAAAGGAGUUGCAGUGCUAACAGCAUCUAAUUAAUUUCUCUGUGAAACACUGAGUUUCAUGACUUGAAAAAGUGUUAGCAAGACUAAUUUUUCUUUCUCGCAGUUUUUUUGACAAAUUGUUUAUGCCCUACCCAGAGCAAUCUUCACAGAAAAAGUUAUUUUUAUUACUAUUGUUUUAAAACCUAGGUGUUAAGGAUGUUACUUUAUUGCUUAAUGGAACAGUUCAGUAGGAAUAUAUAUCGCUGUGGCUGCGCUUUAUGUUUUUCAGAAGUUGCACAAAAGUUAACCGUAUCUUUUCAUGUUCACUUUCCUAAAAGCAGCGUCCUCCACUUAGUAAUCAAAUGUGAUACUUAGCUGCGUUCAGAGAAACUUAAAUGACAAAAUUCGUCAAUUAGGGUUUUACCCACUAGGGGGACCCAUUGUUAAGACUAAAAAGUGGGCUCUGACGUUGUGAGUAAAAACGGCAUGAUCAGGUUUUGUCAGGUAGAAUUUUUAUACCUGAAUCUUUUCUCUCUCUUGGUGCGCAUGCACACCAUAAAAAUCUGUGGGCCUCUUCCACCCAUACAACCGAAAUUUGCCAACUGAGAUGUAACUUCUAUGCAGCACAGAUAACUAUUUUGCAUGUAGAGAAGGCUUAUGUUUCUGUGUUUUGUCACCUUGCAGAUAUAUAAAAAUAGACAAAAAAUAUUUGACUGCUUGUGGUGUGCAGAAUUUGCUGAGAAAAUAUGUACUUAUUCAAAGAUAAGCUGGUAAUUUUAUUUGAUUUUAUUUCUGAAUGCAGGGGGAAGAUGUGUCCUUUUUUUGUUCUGACAUCCAGAUAGUACACUCAUGUCCUAAUUUUUUCCUGCCUCAAGCAGUCAUCCUGCUUUACUUUGGACUUUGCAACUCCAUGCCCUGCUCUUACAAAGGCUCCUUGCAAUAUCUUCUCAUGCCUGCAUUUCCCCCAUGCUGGACUCAGCUUUGUUCCAACUGUGCUUUCCAUCAUGUUGUCCUGCCUCCCUCCUGGCUCUAAGAUGGUCCAGUGAAGAGGAUCUGUGGCUGCCCCUGUCCCUUAACUCAUGAUCCUGUGAACUCAUGAACCCCUGUGCUAUGCCACUCCGCAGCAUCCCUUUCAGCUUCUGCAAGGACCUCGUGGCUUGUCUUGUCUCUGAUCCUUCCCCCCUCAUUUCACUAGCAUCAUCACAGCCCUUACCUUGCUUAGGUAGAUUAGUGAGGAGCAGACUUAUAAAAACCAGCAGUAAAAUGGUAUGGAAAUUUCUACAUACAGCAUUUCUUGGUCAGUGGUCACUUCACCUAGUGGUGUUACACCUUUUCUCCUCCUCCUAUGCCCAUCUGGGUGGGAGGCAGAGGAGGAAGGGCAUUUUCUUUUUAUUGUUCUCUUGUCUUUUGUCAAGAUGAAUUUGGCACCCAAAUUCUAAAAAGUUGAGGCAGCAUGUUUCUUAGAUGUGAAGUAAAAAUCAAUAUAAGUUAUUUCUGCCUGACUAAAGUUAUUUUAUUACUGUUUCUAAUGCUAUCACUAACUAUUCUUUUUCUCAGAAAGGAUGCAAAGCUUUAUUUAUCCUUGCUAUUUCACGUAUUUAUAAUUUUAAAUUCUUUCCCAGUUGUGAUGGGGAUGCAAUGCAGUAACAUUUCUUUUGUUUUUUAACAGCGAGGAUUUUGUAUUUAAAUAUGCUCAAAUGAGUGAAAAUGUAUUUUUGAAUUAGUAUUUACUGAAGUAAAAUUUUCUUCUCUUGCAUAAAAGACUGAUAAGCAACUGUGCUGUGUGACCAUUUAAAAAUGUAUUUCCAGCAAAGGGCCUUUUUGGUUCAGUUCAAUGGCCCUUUUUGACACGUUGUGCAGAGCACUGAGAUGAAAUAUUCAGGUCACAUCUGAGUAACUAAUGGAUCUGCAGCUUGAUUUCCACAGUGAAACACAGGUGCUGGGCAUCUCAGUCACCAAGGUCUUGGCCCUUGAACCUCAUGGACUUUCAAAUUCCUCUGCUACCACUGGAAAAUAAGUACCUGCACAUCCUUUGGAAGUGACUUUCACUUCCUAAAUCACAUAGUUUCUUUUGCAAUUAUUACACUUACCAUGUAUUGGAAUCUUGAUAUUCUACCUGUGUCAGACUUCCAGGUAUUUUUAUUUUACUAUGUAUUUAUUAUUCAUGUGAGUUUAAAAAGAGGAUAAAAACAAUUAAACUGCAGAAAAUUCAGUGUGGUUGUGAUAAAGUUGAAGGAUGAAUCUGCACCCACUUCUCCCCUAUUGAUAAUAAUGUGGCAUGCAGAGCUGUGUACAGGCAGCAACAGAGCUGAGCCUGAUGUUGGCCUUUCUGUGCUAGUCUUUGUGAAACCAGCACACCUAAUAAUUCCAAAUACAGGAUAGAAGGCAGGCAUUUCCCAGGCAUUUCUCUCUACUUCAGGUAGAUGAAAUAUGAUACAUAUCAGAAUCAUGGGCAAUUGCUAAUAUUUUGCAAAUGGAGUGGAAAUUAAAUGCAUAUAAGUUCUCUAGUCCUGAUGUGCUUGAUCUAUCCAGAGACCCGCCCCAGAGAGCUGCACUGGAGCGGUUGGAGAUGGAACACAGUGAGGGAGGUUUUGUUCUGGGUGCUGUGGGCAGCAUAUGCCAGCAGAAAGGAUGUUAUCUUCUUGCUGCCGUUGUACAGUCUGGUAUCUCAGUGCUCACCUAACUUUCUGUGGUGGAUUAAAUCAGAUAAGGUGCAAACUUACACUUCUACAUCUUUUGUUAAGGUAGCAUUUCUUUUUUUUUUUCACAGAGACAAAAGGGAUGUUGACAUCUGAAAUUGUGGAGUCUUUGCACCUACAAGGUAUUUGUCUGUUGAAACCUUUCAUUGUGCUAAUUAAAGGCUCAGCCAUAUUAAACUGGUAUCUAUAGACUUGCUUCUUCUUAAGGUCUGUGGAAGGCAGUUGAGCUGUUGCAUUUCCUGUUACAGUCCCACUGAGUACUGAAGAGGGCCUGGGGGCUCCCAAUGCUUGUAUCAUGGUAGUUUUAGGGGCCUUCCAUGGGAACCUUCUGCAGACAUCUAACAGUGAGUUCAUGGUGCUGCACUGAGAGCAUCAGUCUGGUCUGGGUUAGAACACAGGCUUCAAUGCAAAGAAAUGUGUUAAUUCAGAUUCUGUUCUAGGAAAAAAGAAAGGACAAUAUAUAUAAUCUAGUAGGAAAUUACUGUUUUUAAGCUGCUAUGAAGAUCUGUGAUCAAUAAGAAUAUGAGAUAGAAUAAAUGAGCUAUUAUGCCCCAAUGAUAAUAAUAGUUAUGACCUUGUAAUUUAGCACAGGCUCAUAGCAUUUAAUUUCUUGUUGUGUCUGAUUGCUAAAUGACCACCUAAAAAUGUGUAGUGGGUAGAUAUUUAUAUCAGAUUUCAUUUGUGAUCAUCAAAAGAUUACUUUUUAUUUUCUUUAGCAGAUGUAAAAAUCAAAAUAACCUAAAUGUGCUGCUAACCUAAUUUGAUUGCAGCUGGUAAACUGUGUGCUUUAAAAAAACCAGGAACUUGGUGGCUGCUUCUGAGUCUAUUUUUCUCUUCAGCUUUGGAAAGAAGUAUUUACAUGAACGGGUAAUGAUACUAAAAUUAAUAAACUAAGGAGGGACUGAAAGAAACUUGUGUGUUCUAAAAUUUAUUAAAAUGCAUUCUCUUCAUCUAGAAGUGAGUUGGUGCCAAAAGAGUGGUCUCAGACUCAUGUGGAAGAUUUGUUUCAUUAUUUAUUUGUUUGUUUGUUUGUUUGCAUAGCUUACAAAUCUCUGUGUAAAUAAACAAUACACCCUAAACCCAAACUAGCAAGGUCAACAGCACUGUUUACUAAGGCCAGAGGGUACAAUUAAAAAAACCCAAACCAACUAAUGCAAGUAAGAAUAUAAUUACUAUUAACUCUUAUUAUUUUUUUUGUAAACUGUUCUUGGUGUCUGACAGAUUCCUAUUCUUGUUUCAUAUUCUGAGACACAUAGUAAUAUGACUCCAGUAUCCCUUUUAAAUUGCCAUAAUGUUAAAUGCAGUUGGAAAUAACUACAAAGUUCAAUAAACUGUAGAAUUAUGUGAAAUUUGCUUUUUCCCCCAUGAAUACCUGUUUUUUCUGCUCAUUAGAAACAAACUUUUUGAAUUCUAAUUGGCAUCCUUCCUCAGAGCUUGAUCUAGGAGUGCAAAAUAGAUUUGCGUAUUUUGCUAUAAUUGCAUUUUAAAAUCCUAACUUAGAAAAGACAAACUAAUAUAGAUGGUGGGAAUUCAGUGAAAGGAAUCCAGAAAAUCUACCAGGAUCUACUAAUUUGCCAUUUAAUCUAAAUACAAAAUAUGCACAGCAGUUGUACAACUGUAUGUUUAUAUACAGAUCUCCAUUUUUGACUGAAAAGAGAGCUUUCUUAAUAUAGACUAAAGUGUGAUUUUGCUUGAAAAAGUGAAUUUGUAAACUCAGCGUAAUGUUUAUUGUCUUAAUGAUUUUUCAGAUUCCAGACUUGUAUGUACACUAGCACAGCAGCAUGUUUAUCCUAUCUAAAAGCUCAGUCUGAGGUCAGCAAGUCUAGCUACGUUCAAAGGCCAAAAUGAAUGCAUUAGUACAUCAGUGGGAAUGGUUGCAUAAUUCAACAUCUUAUCAAGUCACCACAUCAAUCCCAGGAUUGUGGUGGUGAGGACUAUAAAAAUGCUGUUGCCUUGUCUCCAAGUCUCUCCACCCUAUGUUGUGUUUUCCUGUCUUCCUCCCUUCUGUUUUCCACACAAAAGGGAGUUCACUGAAAUGCCUAGUUUGUUCCCAAACUACUAAACAUUGGAAGAAAGACUGGGAAAACAGCAAGACUUUCAAACGAAUGAGGUACUUAACUCAUCUUGUUGCUAACCUAAGGCUAGGCUCUGCUAAAGGAGUCAUUCAACAGUAGCACAUCCUUUUCCAUGUAGCCUUCCAGUGCCACCAGCUCUGUUCAUCCUGCAAGGCACUUUUUAGAUGGAUUUGCAGCAUUGCAGUCCCAUUCCUGGGGACAUGUAUGUCUGGGUAAAUGGGAGGAAUGUGUGUGCUUAAUACCUGAGGCAACCCUGAAGUCUUUGCUGACAAGUGUCUUCACAAGACAUGGAGAGCCCAUCUGUGUCUCCUGAUGCCACUCUUGAAUGCAAGUUGUUAACUGUGUUUGGUAAUGCUGUGGCUGUAAUGCACAAGUACACAGAACUUUUGUUGUCUGUAAACAUGGUACAAAAGAGCUUAUUCAGCCCCUGUGAAGGGGACCGUGCCCUACAGUCCUGGCACCACAUAACCCAAGGUAGCUCACCUGUGAAUGGAGCAGGUUCUAGAGCACUCGCUCACUACCAUUGGAGUCUUAGCUAGGAUAUAAAUGUCAAUUGCUUUUUUUUAAAUGCAUUUUGAAAGAAUGACAAGAUGCCGCUUCAGCAUUCUGUAAUGAGAUCAUUUGGUUUCAUCUAACAGGAGUUAAGCAUAACUCCGAGAAUGUCCUGCUGAACAUUUAUACAAACUGCUUUUCCAUCCUGCAAGGUUUUCUUGGAUUAAUAGCAGGAUUUUUGUUUUGUUGUUCUUUGGGGUUUUUUUAGGGUUUUUUUUAAUACCUUUCCUUCAGAAUGCUGCAAUAUUUGCACAGAAAUUAAGUUGUUGCUGAAAAACCAAACAGGCUGCCAUCCCUUUUUCUUUUCUGGGCUGAAGUCCAAUUUUACACAGCAGUUGCAGAGAAAAAGCAAACACAUCACUAGAUUCAGCAAGAAAUAUUGUAACAGUAUGUAAUCUCUGUCAAGAUAAAAUUGCCUUGUGAUUUACAUUACAAUAAAUCCUGACCUUUAAGUGCUGCAGGCUAAGCUAAUCUGUGAAGUACUUUAUUCUAUCACUGAAUCAGCAUGUGAAGCUAAAGCAAAGUGACUGUGUUUGUCCCACUGUGGUGCCACUGAAGAGCACGUAGGAAAGCAGAUUAUAGUGCACGGUGCCAUGUCCGUUGCAGCUGUGAUGUAACUGAAACGUAUACUGUGGAUUAAUAGAGUGACUUACUACUGCUGCAGGAAGUAAAAGUUAAUAUUUUUAUGAAUAAAGAGCAUAUAAUAUUUAAAUUGACAUAAAUCAAGACAUUUAGAAUUAAGCUCGAAAAUCUGGGCUGAUUUUCUAACAAUAAUUCUCAGAUCAUUUCCUCAUCUCUUGCUGCCCUCAUUAAUUUUAUUUUCAGUUUUUUUAAGGAUAACAACUUGUAUGUCAGCACAGAUAUUGCAACCUUAAUUCAAAUUUUUUGGCUUUUGUGUCUCAACGUGUUGUUUGAGUAUAAUCUUUAGUAGAUGUGUCACCUCUGGCACUUCAGUUAGUCUUCUCUUGUUCUUUUUUUGCAGGAAAAAAAAAAAACCCAGAUUGAAUAUUUCAGAUUCUUUAAUUUACCCAAUGGUCACUACCAGACAACAAAUAAUAUUCACCAGAUUGUGUAAGCAGGUCAAAUCAGGAGGAAAGAGAGGAGGCAAAUAGGAAACAUGCUGAAGAUAAAGAUGGACACUGACAUGCAAUAUUACAAAGAGGGAUAAGCACUUAAAAGCUGGAAGGACAAGUUAAAAGUGUUGUCAUGAGACAAGGAGCUGCAGAAGCUAAAUAUUCUAAACUGUAAUCAAUGGGAAGCUGUUUGGCAAUGUAAGAUUUGCAGUUUUGCACUUGCUGUGGUUCUGAAUAGAGGUCCUUGAAGAUAUUCUGAUUAUUUUUCCUUAAGACAAGUGUAGAAGGUGUCUAAGUCAGUGCUUUUGCAACAAAACCAUUUUCUGUAAAUACUUGCUUUUCAGUUUCAUUUUAAUUAGGUCAUAUUUUUGACAGAAAGUUUUGAAAUUGCUAGACUGAAUCAAUUUGACAAUUUUUUUGAAUUAAAAUAUCUCAGUUUAGCAGUGUAAACUAUUUCUUUGGAAGCUUAAGGUAUCUACAGCUCAAAAGCAGCUAAUAACAAAAUCGAAGUUUUAUAAGUUUUGGAAAGGGGAGAAUUUGAGAAAUUUCUCAGAUUUCAACUGUUGGUUUGUUCAUAUUGUUCCUUUGCUCUUGCCUUUGAUGGUUUGAACUGAUAUUUCACAGGUUUGACUGCCAUGUUGUUAGGGAUACAUCUACCUCCGGUGACCUUGAGCCUGCCUGUGGCAGUGGGGUUGAAAUAAGAUCUUUAAGGUCCCUUCCAACCCAAAUCAUUCUAUGUUUCUAUGAUUCUCUAGCUGUUCCUGUUCCUGAUAACAUCCACCUCUGAGACAGCAGCAGUGAUGCCCAGAUUAUAUUUAUACUGAAGGACAUGUCAAAGAGUGGCACUGGACUCUAACAGAUGCCAUAGGAAUAUUGUUUAUUCCAAACAGUUCAGAUAUACAUAUACUGUUAUAUUGUUCUGGAUGUUCCUCACCAGAAAAAAAAAAAAAAAAAAAAAAAAUUAACAGCUUGAUGCAGUGAAGAAAGAAGUGCAGAUAUUUUAACCAGAUGCUAACUGUCAUUGCUUCUUAAAGCCUUUAUCUGGUGAGACUCUUUGUCCUGUAAGUGCCUUCAUGGGAAAGCUAUCUCACCUGGGACCAGGUCAGGAUAUGUGUUAGCAGUCAGUUAGGCCAGCCAAGGAGUCAUCUGACCACAAAACUGGAAUAAGAAAGGAUGCGAUAUAGUGUUGUUUCAUGCUUCCAGUUGGUAGGGAGCUCCAGGCAUCAGAAAUGCAAAAGCUUAGGGAAAACCCUGUUUUCUUUGGGUCUUAACUCAUCUAGGGCUCUUCCAUUGGAAAGAAAAAAAAAGAUAAAAGGUCUUGUGAUGAGCAGUUCUACUGGGUUUGCUUAUUCCCCUCCCUUCCCUGUUCUGUGCUCAUUCACUACUCUUCCAUGGUCAGUGCAUCCAGUACCUCCAGGUGAAGGCUCCUCCUUCUAGGUUUGGCACCCAUUUUCCGAAUGAGUUUAUUUAGCAGUCUUCUCUUAACCCUGGUUGCCUAAACAAAAUGCAUAUCAUCACAUGAAAUGGGCUUGCAAAAUAGUUUUCUCAAAAUAAUAUAUUUCAAAGGCUAUCUGGAGAAAUGCUCAUGCCUGUCCAGUGGACAGGCAUGAGGAUUUACAUGAAGAUUUUACAGAAGCUUGUCCGGAGAUGUUCCUGGUGCUUCUGUUCAAUGAGACCUUAAAUAUUUAAUCAGGUCUUAAAAUGCAGGAGUCUAUCCAUUUACUUGAAGUUGGAGUGGGGGGUUUCCCCUUCCUUUUAAUUUGUAGUUUUUGCUCUCAAUUCCACAGCAGAUCUACUUUUUGAAAGAUCCCGGAUUUUUUAAAAAACACUUGUUUUCCAGCAAACAAAAUGCCAGAAUGUCAAAUGCAAAGUGUUUCUCCACAUUAUUUUAGAUUCCUUGGUCACCUUCAAGAGCUAGCUAAUGACAGCAUGCUGCAGACAGCUGGCCUCCUAAAUUACACCAUUGACUUCCUGUCUGUUCAUGUGGGUAUCAUUCUUGGACACAACCCCCCAACUGAGUCAUUUCUCACAAAAAGAAAAAAGAGUGUAGCUUUGUGAGACAGAGGAACCUUAAGUCCCUUUAAGAAGAAAGCAGUUAAUCUCAGCAAUGUGUUCACAAGGUUCAGAAAUCUAUCACUGGAAGGAAAAAGUUUUUUUUAGAGUUUUUUUCUUUUUUUUUUCCUCCCUCUCCAAGUUGCAAAUAGGUUUUUGGGUUUUUUUUCCAGGGAACAAAGGCCUGUCCAUGCAGUCAUAAAUUUACUCAUAUCAGUGGUGGUUUGGGAGGGUUUAACACAGAAGGCUUUAUUUUAUGCUGGCUGUGGCUGUCCCCAUGUGUGGUUUAGUGAAGUUGUAUCAAAGGCCAGCACUGCAAAUGUCAGUGGGUUUGUGAUUUUCACCCACAAGGCCACGCUGUGCUGCUUCUGUCACAGGCAGAGUGUCAUUGGCUUCAAAGGUGGGCUUUGAGUGCCCUACAGACAAUGAGGAGAAACUACCUCUUUGAGAGUAAACAUAAUCAAAAUAAAAUCUCUGGCACAUAAGAUGGGGACAUGAUCAGUAGGGAAGUGCCAGUUUCUCUACUGAAAUUUUCUGCUGUGUUAGUGCCCAUAGAGCCACACUAAUGAUGUCUACACAUAGCGUAAAUGUUCCCAAAGCACAGAAUUUUCUACCUAGCCAUUGCUGUGUUUGAUGAUGUUGAAAGUACAGGUCAUUCCUGAAAUUAUUCUUUCCAUCUACUCCCUGUGAAGGAAUGUGCUUUGCGUGGUGUGUGGUGGUCCUUCCUCCCUUCCCAACUUUCCAGGCUUGGCCCCAGGCUCUGCACCCCAGGAGUGUCACCCUUGUCUACAGCAGACCAACAACCAUGUGGUGGCAUUUUGGGUGGAUGGUUUUUGGGUUUUGUAGGCACUAGAGGAGUUGUAUCCUUGUGCAUUUCAGUCUGUUGGGCACACUUGGCUCCUUCCCCACCUCCUGCUCCAGGAGGGACAAGUUGUCACCAUGCUGCUGUCAGGAGAUGCGCCAAACCUUACCUCCAUGGGAUUGUGUUCCCUAUGAACCUCUGAAAUGCUUUCCCUGUCCCUUUCCUACAUCUUAAAAUGUAAGUGAGCAUCUGGAAUAAAUGUAAAGUCUUCUCAUCUA